RNAcentral lists this ribosomal RNA (253 nucleotides) under uncultured bacterium. RNAcentral's name for it is "partial 16S ribosomal RNA". It matches the Rfam family "Bacterial small subunit ribosomal RNA", at positions 524 to 776 of the family's 1533-position model. The record is from RNAcentral.
UACGGGGGGGGCAAGCGUUGUUCGGAAUUACUGGGCGUAAAGGGCUCGUAGGCGGCCAACUAAGUCAUACGUGAAAUCCCUCGGCUUAACCGGGGAACUGCGUCUGAUACUGGAUGGCUUGAGUUCGGGAGAGGGAUGCGGAAUUCCAGGUGUAGCGGUGAAAUGCGUAGAUAUCAGGAGGAACACCGGUGGCGAAGGCGGUUCUCUGGGCAUGAUCUGACGCUGAGGAGCGAAAGUGUGGGGAGCGAACAGG